UUGAUUCUGCUAUAUACUUUUCAAACUCUAACUAUAUAAAGGAAAGGAUACUGAGAUGGCUGAUGGAUGAGGAAGAACAACGAAAAGCAACUAGUGAUCCUAAAAUUCAGUUCUUGAUCGUUGAGAUGUCACCUGUUACUGAUAUUGACACCAGUGGUAUCCAUGCCUUGGAAGAGUUGCAUAGAAGCCUAAUAAAGAGAAAUGUUCAGCUUGUUCUGUCGAACCCCG
This 228-nucleotide unclassified non-coding RNA is filed under the name Hevea brasiliensis (rubber tree). Lineage: Eukaryota; Viridiplantae; Streptophyta; Magnoliopsida; Malpighiales; Euphorbiaceae. The record is from RNAcentral.